Molecule: long non-coding RNA, 1562 nt
Filed under: Brachypodium distachyon (stiff brome)
Lineage: Eukaryota; Viridiplantae; Streptophyta; Magnoliopsida; Poales; Poaceae
Description: long non-coding RNA (BDIS_LNC004040)
Source: RNAcentral
CCCGUAACCAUAACGCGAUCUACACCUACGGUCCUAGCCACACACCUGUCCAUUUUUAUUUUUUAAUUUCUCUGCCGACCAGAGUAAUCUCCGCCUAAUCUUCUGGCAGAUCUCUCCCAUCUCUCUCCUCUCUCGCAAUCCUCUCUCCCAUCUCUCUCCUCUCUGCCGUGGACCGACCCCGCAGCGCCGCUGCCCGCUAUCCAAGCCGCCAGGCGCCCCCCUACCCGUCGUCCCGCCGCCUCUGCGCCCGUCCCUGCGGCCCCGCGCCGCUGCCCCCCGUUCAAACCGCCGCCCGCUCCCAUCCCCGCCACCGUGCGCCUCGUCCCGCCAUCCAAGCCGCCGCGCGUCCUCUCCCUGCCGCCACGCGCCUCGUCCUGCCGACCCCGCCGCCACGCACCUCGUCCCUAGGCCUGGCCUCGGCCGUCGUCGCUGCACGCUUCUAGCACCCGCUGCCUCCCACGAAAUAGGGUCCUGUCACCGAUUGGUUAGAGGUACUUUGAUUUGUAGCUUCCAUGGCUAGAUUUCUAUUGAUUUGUGGCUUGAUUUCAGGUACUUUGAUUUUCUAUUGAUUUGUACCUUCUGUUUUCUAUUGAUUUGCAGGUAGAGUAGAUCAAAGUUUCCUUUCCUGGACAUAUUGACUUUUUUUUUCUUCCUAUCAUGAUCUUGUUUUGAGUCCGAAGGUGUAUUUCUUCUUUUUCUGUGAUGUACCAUUGGGUUAUGUUGUACCAUUGGGUUAGCGUCAGUGUGAUUGAGGAGGUACUUAUCGUGUGUUGUAAUUGUUUUUUCAUGUUUUAGGCAGGGAUUUCAUAUCACAAAUUGAUAAGUUAUUGUCAUGUACUUGACAUUUGCCUUGAUGUACAUCAAAUUAAGAAGGUACUUAAAAUUGAUAAUAUAUUGUAUCUAUCCUAAUGUACUUGACAUGUACCUUGUUGUAUUUGCUAUGUACUAAAAAUUAAUGAGGUACUAUUGUUGAGAAAGUACUUAGUACUUUUGAUUGUUCUCGUAUUUAUUAAUGAAUAUUGUAUAUAGGGUACUUAAAUUGAUGAGGUACAUAAAAUUGAUGACGUACUUGAAAUUGAGUAAUUCCGUCACGUUUAAAUUUGAUAAGGUACUUAAAAUUUUAUGUACAAAAGAAACAAAAAUUGACGUACUUGAAAUUGGCUAUUUUUAUUAUCAUAGACGACGAUACAUUUCGUAGAAUUUGUACUAAAAAAUAUUUAUGUACCAUCGUCUAGGGUACAUGUACUUGUCGUACUGUAAUACGUACCAACUAGUCAAAUUAAUACAAAAGAUAUAAGUGGCCCUCUAAAAUUAUUGUACAAAAGAAACACAUAUAUUAGAGAAAAAAAAUGAUUGGUUUUUACGUGAGACCGUGAGUGACUGACACAAAGAAAAGAGAAUAAAGAUAAAAAAAUGAUUGUGACCUGACACAAGCAGUGACGGACUCUCUCUAAUAUAACACAAAGUAAAUUAAUUUGGUGACCUCGGAUAAACGAGUGGCUACGAAGCUACGGGUAGAUCGCGUUAGCGUCACCGCUCCGCUCUGGCAUGUCACCGGUAGA